This 253-nucleotide ribosomal RNA is filed under the name uncultured bacterium. Its description in RNAcentral is "partial 16S ribosomal RNA". It matches the Rfam family "Bacterial small subunit ribosomal RNA", at positions 524 to 776 of the family's 1533-position model. The record is from RNAcentral.
UACGUAGGGGGCUAGCGUUGUCCGGAAUUACUGGGCGUAAAGCGCACGUAGGCGGCUUUGUAAGUUAGAGGUGAAAGCCUGGUGCUCAACACCAGAACUGCCUUUAAGACUGCAUCGCUUGAAUCAUGGAGAGGCGGGUGGAAUUCCGAGUGUAGAGGUGAAAUUCGUAGAUAUUCGGAAGAACACCAGUGGCGAAGACGGCCCGCUGGACAUGUAUUGACGCUGAGGUGCGAAAGCGUGGGGAGCAAACAGG